Alosa sapidissima (American shad) is the source of this 854-nucleotide long non-coding RNA. RefSeq lists it as uncharacterized. The record is from RefSeq and is a predicted model, not a curated record. Lineage: Eukaryota; Metazoa; Chordata; Actinopteri; Clupeiformes; Clupeidae. The transcript is spliced from 3 exons.
AACAUGGUGUUCUUGUUCACUCUUACUUUAGUUUGUGCAGGAGAUAGUUGAUUUUGAAUUGUUUGGUAUUUUUGUGCUUGUGUAUGUGGUUGCUUUGUUUUUUGACCUGCUGCCUAGCAGCGCGGCAGGUUGAGGAUGGCGACAUGUGCAAAAUGAUUAAGAAGAGAAAAUAUAGUCUAGAACAACUGACCAUAGAAUUGGAGGCUUUGGGUGUUCCGCUCAAGACAGAGAUAAUGAAAAUAAAAGCAGGAGGAAGGUCAAAAAGGAGCUAUAAAAGCUCCUCAUUACAGAGGAAUUGAGGAGAGCUACGUACGCUGGACCAGAGAUACUUGAGGAAAGAAGACAAAGGCCGACCCUGCCUUUCCCAAUUCCAGAUGACAUAAUGAAUGUGUUGAAAGAGCUGAUGCGUUACACUCAAAAAAUAAUGUCCUGGACAGCACUCUGAGUGAAUUCUGACACUGUGAAGAGCUAUGUGAGAGUGGAGAGAGAACAUGAACUUAAUGAAAAUGUGGUUUUGGUGAACAUCCUGAAGGCCCUGGAACCUCCUCAGGGUCUAACACUGGUAUGUCCUGAGGACCUAAAAAAAGAUAAGAUGGACAAAAUGGCAAAGGAUGGUACGUAACAGCAAAAAUGAUUUACAGUAGCUAGUUGAUUAGAAAAAGUAGAAAAACAAAAAUCUUGUUUCUGACUGAAUUUCCACCAGAACAUAUUUCCACCAUAUGCAUAUAGAUGUGAAUAUAGCAAGUGUGAAUAUAGGAAGGAACUUAACACUUAAAAUGGCCCCUGGUUUGCAAAUGGAUGGAGGAAAGAAAAAAAUGUGUUGAGGCAUUCGACCAGAGACAAGCAGAAGGAAA